Podarcis lilfordi (Lilford's wall lizard) is the source of this 200-nucleotide non-coding RNA. The record is from the annotation of a GenBank genome assembly. NCBI's taxonomy places the organism in Eukaryota, Metazoa, Chordata, Lepidosauria, Squamata, Lacertidae.
GGAUGUGAGGGCGAGAGGCUGCGACAUCUGUCACCCCAUUGAUCGCCAGGGUUGAUUUGGCUGAUCUGGCUGGCUAGGCAGGUGUCCCCUUCCUCUGUCACUGCUCCAUGUGCGUCCCUCCAAAGCUGCGUGCUCGGUGGAAGAGGACAAUCAUCCCAGAUAGAAGGAGUGUACCGUUCUUUGGUCAAGGGUAAUCAAUA